Molecule: ribosomal RNA, 429 nt
Filed under: Actinomycetes bacterium
Lineage: Bacteria; Bacillati; Actinomycetota; Actinomycetes
Description: Actinobacteria bacterium partial 16S ribosomal RNA
Rfam family: Bacterial small subunit ribosomal RNA
Source: RNAcentral
UAGGGAAUUUUCCGCAAUGGGCGAAAGCCUGACGGAGCAACGCCGCGUGAGAGAUGAAGGUCUUCGGAUCGUAAAACUCUGUUAUUAGGGAAGAACAAAUGUGUAAGUAACUAUGCACGUCUUGACGGUACCUAAUCAGAAAGCCACGGCUAACUACGUGCCAGCAGCCGCGGUAAUACGUAGGUGGCAAGCGUUAUCCGGAAUUAUUGGGCGUAAAGCGCGCGUAGGCGGUUUUUUAAGUCUGAUGUGAAAGCCCACGGCUCAACCGUGGAGGGUCAUUGGAAACUGGAGAACUUGAGUGCAGAAGAGGAAAGUGGAAUUCCAUGUGUAGCGGUGAAAUGCGCAGAGAUAUGGAGGAACACCAGUGGCGAAGGCGACUUUCUGGUCUGUAACUGACGCUGAUGUGCGAAAGCGUGGGGAUCAAACAGG